Molecule: long non-coding RNA, 469 nt
Organism: Chelonoidis abingdonii (Abingdon island giant tortoise)
Lineage: Eukaryota; Metazoa; Chordata; Testudines; Testudinidae
Source: RefSeq, a predicted model, not a curated record
UGCCCCCAGCCCCGCCCCUUCCAUCCAAGCUCCCGCCCCUUCCGGAGGCCCAGAGGCCCCCCACACACACCUUGCCCAGGACCCCAGCCACCCCACAUACCGAACGCCAGCAUUCUGUGGACAUCUAGUGUGUGAAGGGAUGCCUCCCUGUUGUCGGUAUGUGGCUUGGGAAAGAAUACAGGGACGUAGAUUCUGAGUGUCUUUAAUAUCAUACAGGAGUCACUCAGGGUGUGUAAGGAGACGUCUGUGCUCUUUGAAAACAAUUUUAGCCCCUUGAAAGGUAAGUCCUCUACAGUCAUCUGAACUUUCCUGGGGAAGCCAGAGAGAUGGCACCAUGAAGCUCUCCACAUGAUAACGGAUGUGGCGCUGGAGCAGGCUGCUGUGUCAGCAGAAUCCAGAGAAGCCUGCAGGGCUGUUAAGGAAACCUUCAGCUAUAUCAGCUUUAUAUUGUUCUUUUUUGUCAGCUGGA